This 1542-nucleotide unclassified non-coding RNA is filed under the name Hevea brasiliensis (rubber tree). The record is from RNAcentral. Lineage: Eukaryota; Viridiplantae; Streptophyta; Magnoliopsida; Malpighiales; Euphorbiaceae.
ACGGGUUUCAUGGUUGUAACAUCCUUUGAACUACCUAUUAAAUGGAGUCCAGAAAAAUGAUCACCCCAGAUAUCAUAUUUAUAUUUAUCCCCUACCUUUUCUUCUACUUUUUUCUGGUUAUAAAGCCUGGGCCCAGGAGCUCGAGCAUGAGGAGCAAUUGUAGAUUUUGAAGCUGGAGAAGUGUGCAUCAGAUUGGGGACAGCCCUACCACCAGAAGGAAUAGUGGCAGAAGGCAACAAAACGGGCUUUCCAGUAGUUUCUUCUGGCACUGAAAGUUGCUUUGCAGUAGCAGAGAAACAAUUACUACUGUAGCAUUCUAAAUAAACCCUGGGCUCCAAUACAGUUGCCUUGGCAGUAGACUCAGCCACUCGAACCUCACCCUGUUGGUCAGCCACUAGAGUGAAUGGAUUUCUAGCUUCAAUAGGGUCCAUGUCAGGAGAUGGUGACCAAGUACGAUUAGGAGUCACAUUCAUUACAGGAGAUAGAGGAGAUGAAGGUGUGGAAUUCCCACUUUGACUCACUUUGACUACUUGAAACUUCAAAAAGUCCUGUUAAACCUGCAGUAACACCCUUUCUCUUCCUUCGCCUUCUUCCUUUCUCUUUUCCAAUCCUGACGGUAAGGCUACAAGGUUGGGAAGCGUCAAGUGCAUUAGAAUUUUCAAUUGCUACAGAUUUUGACAGCAAAGAUGGUACUGCUUUGUGAUCUUCUAGGGAUGGUAUCCCAUUCUCAACAGUUAUCCCAUGGUCUGGGCCUCCAAGUUGACUACCAGGAUAUUUAUAACCAGAUGCCUGCUCUGAGGUUUUGCCUUCAACUGAGCUUAACAAGCCAUCCAUUUCAGGAGGCAUACAAAACUUACUGCUUUUCUGACUAAAAUCCUGGCGAGCAGAUUUCCCUGAACUUCUCGCUGUAGCAUGAACACUCUUCUCACUCUUAUAGAAAUAAUCCUGGGAGCCAAAACUCAUCACUUGGGGGAAUAUGCAGCAAAAGAUCAAGAACAUCAAGGAAGCAGAAAGAAACACAACUGUAGAGAAUUUCUUCAAUCUCAUCCAGAAUACUGAUUUCUUGCAAAGAUUGAACACAUAUACAGGAAGACUUGCCUUCAUUGGUAUCACAAAAAUUCCGCUAGCCAAGGCCAGUUCUAGAUCUCUUUGUAACAUUGGCGCAUAAAAAUCAGGGUGGUAUGAUAUCAAAAGCUUUGUUGACUCACCUGGUUCAAGUGAAAAACCGUUACAAUUAUGAACAAUAAACCCAUCCAACCGACACUCUGUUCCAGAAACUUCAAUACUUUUCACCUCAAAAGGCAAGUCUCCCGUGUUUUGGGCAUACAGCUCUUUCGACAGCUGCUGAGAACAAGCAUAAGUGGUCUCUUUCAUGUUAAAUAACGGGUCUGGAGGAGAGAGAUUUAGAGGAAAUGACAAGUUGAGAUUAAAUUCUAUGCUCUGAAUAGGCUCAGACCCCUCAAGCAGGACAAGGGAAAGUGAACCUCCAACUCCUCUCAAAGAUAACCAUUCGACACCAGAAAGAUUGUUCCUUAUCAGGGC